UACAUCACCUGGGCUCAUGUUCAGAACCCUAUGCGGAGGGCUCAGUUUUUACCCCUUUUAUACGUGAGGCAACUGAGGCCCAAAUCCAAGCAGGAACGGCUGAUAUGUGAGAAGCUCGAUUUUUAUGGGGAAACAGUGGAGGAGGAUACAGUUCAGUGGUGCUGAAUUAUAAGACUCUCGACAGAGCAGCGUGGGACAUCGGCUGCUCCCAUCGCCUGGCAUCUGUGGGGUUCGAGUCGGGCUAAUGUCAUUUGGAGCAGCCAUGUGCUUGGUGGAAAAACUACAUUUCCCACUCUCCACUGCAGCCAGGGGGUUGGCCAAGUGACAUCCACAUGGCCAUCAACACAUAAGGAGAAACUGACAGAUGGGACCUCUGGGAAUGUUCUUUAAAGAGGAGAGACCCAGCCUUUUGCCCUUCCUGGAUACAGAGACUGAACCUGGAAUAUGGAAGGAGUGCUGUGGGUGCUGCAGCAGCCACCUUGUGACCAUGAGGAAACUAACCAUGAGGAUGAAACCACACGCUAAGGAAGUGAAGGAUUAGAGAGACAGAGUCCAGACCCCUGCUGGCCUCAUGCAGCUGCCAUACCAGCCCUAUGCUGCCUACCUCCAAACUGCAGGUACGUGAAAACAUCAAUCCUUUACAAGUUUCAGCCACUGUAAAUAAAGGUAUUC
Non-coding RNA from Kogia breviceps (pygmy sperm whale), 672 nucleotides. The record is from RefSeq and is a predicted model, not a curated record. NCBI's taxonomy places the organism in Eukaryota, Metazoa, Chordata, Mammalia, Artiodactyla, Physeteridae.